RNAcentral lists this ribosomal RNA (408 nucleotides) under bacterium enrichment culture clone ALO1_GLFRUDD03HCG9Y. RNAcentral's name for it is "bacterial SSU rRNA". It matches the Rfam family "Bacterial small subunit ribosomal RNA", at positions 9 to 417 of the family's 1533-position model. The record is from RNAcentral.
GAGUUUGAUCCUGGCUCAGAUUGAACGCUGGCGGCAUGCCUUACACAUGCAAGUCGAACGGCAGCACGGGAGCUUGCUCCUGGUGGCGAGUGGCGAACGGGUGAGUAAUGCAUCGGAACGUAUCCUGGAGUGGGGGAUAACGUAGCGAAAGUUACGCUAAUACCGCAUAUUCUGUGAGCAGGAAAGCGGGGGACCUUCGGGCCUCGCGCUCUUGGAGCGGCCGAUGUCGGAUUAGCUAGUUGGUGAGGUAAUGGCUCACCAAGGCGACGAUCCGUAGCAGGUCUGAGAGGAUGAUCUGCCACACUGGAACUGAGACACGGUCCAGACUCCUACGGGAGGCAGCAGUGGGGAAUUUUGGACAAUGGGGGCAACCCUGAUCCAGCCAUGCCGCGUGAGUGAAGAAGGCCU